Molecule: ribosomal RNA, 301 nt
Filed under: uncultured bacterium
Lineage: Bacteria
Description: partial 16S ribosomal RNA
Rfam family: Bacterial small subunit ribosomal RNA
Source: RNAcentral
CAGUCGCCGCGGUAAGACAAAGGAUGCAAGCGUUAUCCGAAAUGAUUGGGCGUAAAGCGUCUGUAGGUGGCUUUUCAAGUCCGCUGUCAAAUCCCCGGGCUCAACCCUGGACAGGCAGUGGAAACUACCAAGAUGGAGUACGGUAGGGGCAGAGGGAAUUUCCGGUGGAGCGGUGAAAUGCGUUGAGAUCGGAGAGAACACCAACGGCGAAAGCACUUUGCUGGGCCGACACUGACACUGAGAGACGAAAGCUAGGGGAGCAAAUGGGAUUAGAUACCCGCGUAGUCCCUGUCUCUUAUAC